UGAGGAACAUGACCUUCGUCGGGGGAGUAGCCGGCCCAACGGCCGGGUAAUACCGCGUACGACCACUUUGGGACAUCCCUAGGUGGUGAAAGCAGCAAUGCGCCGAUGGAGUGCCUCGCGGCCUAUCAGCUAGUUGGUGAGGUAACGGCUCACCAAGGCGACGACGGGUAGCUGGUCUGAGAGGAUGGCCAGCCACAUUGGGACUGAGACACGGCCCAGACCUCCGUACGGGAGCAG
This 237-nucleotide ribosomal RNA is filed under the name uncultured bacterium. Its description in RNAcentral is "partial 16S ribosomal RNA". It matches the Rfam family "Bacterial small subunit ribosomal RNA", at positions 118 to 347 of the family's 1533-position model. The record is from RNAcentral.